This is a long non-coding RNA of Liolophura sinensis, 1355 nucleotides long. RefSeq lists it as uncharacterized. The transcript is spliced from 2 exons. NCBI's taxonomy places the organism in Eukaryota, Metazoa, Mollusca, Polyplacophora, Chitonida, Chitonidae. The record is from RefSeq and is a predicted model, not a curated record.
UUAGAAGUCUUCUAGCGCCUUAGUGAUAAGUAAGUAGUUUUUUUUCUGGUCAGUUUAAAAGCCCUUGAGGCUGGAAAAAGGGUGUUUCAUCCGAGGUGCUGUUCAAUAUGAAACCUGGACCAGUGAUGUUUCAAUAUCUAUACAGCUAUCAGAGUGAAGCAUUGCCUUUCUCUUUGUAUUUCCCUCCAGUAUAAUCUUGGAAGCUGACUCCAAUGCUGUGGUACAGAGGGUGGCUAUCCGAUCAGAUGACAUACCUCUAGGAGAACAAACAGUUGCCCAGGUCAUACAGUCUGCAAAGGAACAGAUCAAGUGGUCAUUACUAAAAUGAACACUGUAGCAUUAUGUUAUGUGUAGUAAAGAAACGUUGAUGGGAAAGAGGACCAAUGUGACAUGAAUUUGCAUUGGACUGAGAGUAAUUUAAGAGAGAGUAAAAAAUGCAUUGGUGUUUCAGGAUGCAAGAUAAUACUUUUUGAAGGAAAACUGUGAAAUAAGGAAGGGUUUGGUGGCUGUUGUCUAUGUUACUCUCCAUUUGGAAUGACCAAAAGCAUGUUUAUACAUGAUGAUAUAUGUUGAUCAGAAUCCUUUUAUUGUGAGCUGUUACUAGAGUAUUUCAAAUAACUACAGCGAUGCUAUUAACCAGCAGUUUAGAUUGAACAGGUUCCCAGGAUGUGUGAUUUUCUUUAGAGGUAUUCACAUAUAGAAAGUGUGACAGUAAUGUGACGUCUUUCUCUGGCACUGUUGUCUUGUUCUGUGUCUCCUAUGUAUAUCAUCCAUGGUUAUCUUCAUGAAGUAUUUAUCAGAGGGGAUAAUUCAACAAUUUCCAUGAACAUGAAAGUAAAGGAACCAUGUGAUAAAUCAUGAAUCACAAGUUCUUGUGUUUGCAUCAUGCAUGUAAAUCCUGUUGUAUAGUAGGGGACUCUCUUCGGCUCAGUCUCCACCAUAGGGCAGAAUUAUUGCUCAGCUGAUGUGGAGUUCAGCCAUAAUCAAUCUGUGGUGGGAUCAUCAGUCGGUCAUGGGCUCAGUCAAGUACAAGUUGUACUUGUCUGAAUAGGACACAGACAAUUCCAGCUUUCACCUGUUUGUCUAGGUAUUUGGUAACGAGAUUUGUCAUGUAACUAGAAAAGGUCAUUGCUUUACACAAUACGCCAUACUCAGCUACUGGCCAUAAAAUUGUGAUGUUCUACACCAGUAAAUUACAAUAGUUUAUAAGUAUGUAAGCAGCAUUGGCAGAGGCAAGGUAGAAAGCUAUUUUCACAAGUUAUGGUGAUAGUCAUUGUUUAAAAGAUUGCUGCAAAGUAAAUGAGAAACAAUAAUUAAUAUUUAAGCUAAUAAUACUGAAAUAUAUAAACAUGGAA